Long non-coding RNA from Oncorhynchus tshawytscha (Chinook salmon), 303 nucleotides. Lineage: Eukaryota; Metazoa; Chordata; Actinopteri; Salmoniformes; Salmonidae. The record is from Ensembl.
GCCAGACCACCAACAGGCACGCCAGACAACCAACAGGCACGCCAGACCACCAACAGGCAUGCCAGACCAUCAACAGUCACGCCAGACCAUCAACAGGCACGCCAGACCACCAACAGGCACGCCAGAAAACCAACAGGCACACCAGACCAUCAACAGGCACGCCAGACCAUCAACAGUCACGCCAGACCAUCAACAGUCACACCAGACCAUCAACAGGCACGCCAGACACCCAACAGGCACGCCAGACCACCAACAGGCACGCCAGACAACCAACAGGCACGCCAGACCACCAACAGGCAUGCC